UCAUCUACAGGAAUACUAGGAGAAGUGGUGACUGAAAUUUAACAUCAUUGUCAUCGACCCUUUUUACUUGAUGAGUAAUCACAAAAAAUAUCAUUGACGACUUUUUCCAAAGCACAGCCAGAGAUAAAAUGCCAAGAAGCACAGAGGUCUUGCAACCAAUGUUCGAAUAGAAUGACCAAGAAAUUUCAACUCGUAGUACUAUAGAAGUUGGACUGGAUUAUUCUUAUUGUGUCCAACUUCAGCUGAUAAGUUUUAAAACAGUUUUUGAACCCAACACAAUAAAAAUAUGUCUGCGAAAAGUUUAUAAUAAAUCGCUCAUCGGCUUCCGGUCCCUUCGGUUUCUGAGCCUCCAUAUGGGCCUUUUACACAUUGACGAGGAGGCCUUUAUCCUGGCAACAGUUUUUCCAUCAACGGCACACACAUUAACUUAUUCAGUACCGGCAUGGUUUCAGGAGCAUAAAAUAUUAAUUAAAGAAGAACAUUGUAGCUUAAGAAUCCUAAUACAAAAAUUACGAAGAAAUCUUACUGAAAAAGGAAUUGCGACUAAAGUAUUUUCUUCUUUUAUGAUAAA
Molecule: long non-coding RNA, 571 nt
Organism: Uranotaenia lowii
Lineage: Eukaryota; Metazoa; Arthropoda; Insecta; Diptera; Culicidae
Exons: 3
Source: RefSeq, a predicted model, not a curated record